GAUCCCCGGACGCGCGGCCCCCCCACCCGCGGCCCCGCGCGCCUCUCCCUGACACCACCCUCCGCGGCCCCCUCCGGACCCUCUGGCCCCCAAGACGCCCCUCCGGCCCUCCCCUAGGAGAGGGGGCCCUCGCCAAGUCUCCGCCUUCCUGCCCUCCUCCUGUCAAUGCCGCUGUCCAGAGCUCGCAGCCCUGGGAACGCCACUCCAGCGGGGCCUCCUUCUCCUGGGACCCCCUGGGCCCCACCCCCAGGACCUCCCACCUCUGCAAACCCCGAGUUUGCUUUUCCCAUCCACCGGGCAGCUCUUCUCCACGCCCACCUGGCUGGACCCGGGAAACCGAAGAAGUUAGUGGGGGUUCACCAGUAGGAAUCGGUAUGAGGGAGAGCCUGGAGGAGGAAAUGGGGAAAGGGGAAAUGUUCAGAAGGAAUGGAGGACAGCGAGCAGGGUAUUCGGGGAUGGAGGACCAAGUGUGUUUCUUUGGGAAGUGCUGGCAUGUAGGGGUGUGUGCUGUGUACCUGUGUGAAGGAUGUACGCAGAAUGUAGAGUAUGGGGUACGUGAGGGUGGUGUGUACGUAUGUGUCCUGUGGCGGGGAGCGGUGUGCAUUCCGAGAUGUGCGCAGGGUGAACACAGUGUACGUGCAAUGUCCAGGCGUGUGGUGUGCAAGUGUGUGUCUGUGUGUUAUGUGGUGAAUGUGCAGGAAAGGUGUCGCCUUGAGGUGUGGGUAGAGUAUUGUAGGUGCUGGGGGGUUAUGAAUAGGGUAUGCGGGAGAACUGGCUAGAGAUUUCUCUCAGAGGACCAGCCAUGGAGAAGGCCAGGAUGAAGUCUUGGGGAGAACCUCGGGUGAGUUCAGCUCUGAGUCCAUUUCCGUUUUCAGAUCUGGCAGACAAAUCCCUCACACUCAGGUAAAUAAAUUCGGCCUGUGCUCGAGUGCACGAGAAGGGAGAACGUUGUAGUAGCCCAGAUCUGGACUUGGACCACUGGAGGCCUCCCUCUGGCAACCCCGCCCUGGCCUGCAGUCCGGGGUGUGGGUGAUUCAGGCCGCCUGCGCAGCAGCUUCGGAACCGCGGGUUGCCUUGGCUGCGCCUUUAGCUGGGGCUGGGAGAAGCCGGGUCCGAGAGUCGGGAAGAGGGAGAGGUGGAGAGAAUGCGCCUGCGCACGAGUCUUUCCCACAGCAGGAGGAGCAGAAUUUGAAACAGCAGCAUACCGGUCCUGCGCCUGGUGAAGGAUGACUCGCCAGAAAGCAAAGGCACAGCCCUACCUCCGCGAGCUUGGCGCGUGGCCCAGGAGGCUCCGCGAGCCCUCGUACGUAAGGAUCGCGGCGCCCACGCUUGAGAGCAGAGCUCAGUGCAAACUUCCAACGGUUCUUCCAGUUUCCAGGGAAACGAGAUCUGGAGCUGCUGUGCGUUGCAGAGCUGCCUCUCUGCAACCCACAUGGGACCCCUGUGGCUGGCUGGUCUUGGGGAAGAAGGAGUUGAAGCCACCACAUCCAUGAAGGUUUUGUCUGGAGCCUGUCUGAUCCGAUGCAUUCAGUACUGAAAGCUUUCAGGAACAUUCUUUUACUCACUUCUCAGGACAACCGGUGAGGUAGGUCCCCUGUUAUCCCCAGUAGGACUUUUCAUUAGUAAAUUAGUGACUGGAAUUGGGACAGAAACCCACACUCUGUGACCAGGCUAUGCUCCCCCCACCCCCGAUGCCUUCCUGAUUCCAACCCCUGCAGAGGAUCCUCAAGGUGCAGGAUUUCCCUGGAGUACAAAUAGGUCUUUUCUAUCAGGUCGGAUUGGAAAUGGCCAGGUCAGGAGAAUUCCAACUAUUUCUGGGGCUAGCUGAGUAUGUACGUGUCUGUGGUGCCAAAAAAAAAAAUAAAUAAAAAUCUAGUUCUUUGGAGAGUAUGGUGGCAGGAGCCUGCAAACACGGAGAGGGGAACUCACUGAGAAGGGUCUUUAAGCCGAAGCAAUUCAAUUUUAUUCUGAGGGCAGGAACACAGAGAUUUCAGGCGAGCAUCCUGGCGUGUGCUGAGAAGGAGCUCUGCUGCCUGGGAUCUAGGGGAGCGAAAGGAGCUUUCUCUCUGCUUGCAGUGUAAAAUCCCAGGUACAGGGAAUCACCCUGCAGCUUCUGCUCAGCAGUCUUUCUAAAAGGACUGGGAGUUAGCGGAGAGUGGGAGGGGCAAUCUGUGGUCCCGCGACAGCGAAACCGGGGAUGACAUUGAAGCUAACCCAGGUAGGAUUUUAGAGCAGAUUGAAUUGCUUUAUUUCAGGAUCCUUUCACCGAGGAAGAGCUCAUCAUGCUCUGUUGUGAGCCAUCCUCAACUUCCACUUGCAGAGUCUGCUUAACCUUCCAUGCAUGCCAAGGAGGGGACCCAGGGUAGCUGCGGUCUAGUCACGUGACCUGGAGGGUCAGAGGCAGGAAGGAGAGCAACUCCAGAAAGAACCACACCGGUGAGGGAUAACUUUGCCACUUUUCCAGGAAAAUGACAUCAUUAACUACUGUUCAAGUUCCUACAGAGGUCUGGCGGCCUUCUGGGGGCAGGUAUCACUCUCCCACACCAUCACCUUUUAAAUAUUUUAUUAACAUAUGUCUUAGUCUACCUUCUUUUACUGUAACUGAAUAACAUUUACAAAGAACAAUGGUUUAUUUAGCUAACACUUCAGAAGUGCUUGCAACUGUGAAGCCCUUGUGCUGUGUAUAGUAUGGUGUAAGGAAUGACUUGGCAAGACAGAGCAGCCAAAGAGCUUCUUCCACAACAAAACCGCUCAACCAAUUAUAUCCCAAAGGUUCCACCAAACACCAUGAGCAUAUGACUUUGGGGGUCACGUUUCUCGCCUGUGGAUUCUGGGGACAAGCGUUCAUGCAUCACAAGUAGCCAAAUAGUUGAAAUGUUCAUUGUUAAGCCUCACCCCCUCCCGACCCCCCUUUUUUUCCUAGGAACAGCCACGUUAAUCUGUUACUUCACACAGGCAGUGCAGGCAUCCUCUGUGCAAAACACCCAACGGUGAAUCUUCCAAAGAAUUCAUGAAACCGUAGCCGAGUUCUCAGAGACACAACAGUGUUUCUUACUAUGUUCAAAGUCUUAUAGAAUGUAACACAGAAAAUAUUAAAUAUACAAUGUGCUAUCUUCAUGGCAUAGAAACAAGCAUUUAUCUAACUUACGAAAGACAGAAGUGCCCGAGACACGGCCCAGGACCUGUCAGCCAACCAGAGCUUCUUCCUGCACUUGCUUAGGCAUUUGUAGAAGGAAUCUAUCCCAGCCGCUACAGCUGGUCUGGUUUGUUUUCUUUUGUUUGUUCAUUUGUUUUUAUUUUACAGAGAGUCAGAGAGCAUGAUUCUCCCUACCUGGCUUCUUUUGUUCCAUAAAUAAUGUUUGUGGAGCGUGUCCACGAUGCUGCGCACAGCCCUGGCUCACUCAUGGCUGGUAAUGAAACCCUGCAGCUGACCAGUUUCACUGCAGUAAGCAACACAUUGCUUCUUGUUUGGGAAUGGUGUGUCGGGAAUCAUUGAGACACGCAGCUGAGUAACCCUGUCUGAUUAAUACUGUCUUUACUUCUAUUUCCCCCUCUUUGCAUCGAGGUGCAAUUUAUGUACAAUAAGAAUCAUUGAUUUUAACUGUAUGAUUCCACGAGUUUGGACAGCUGCAUACAUUAUACGGACGACCCACUCAUGACUCAAUGCUGGUCCAACUCCUGCAAAUGCUAAGCUCAGCUUUUCCCGACUCCCACCUCGUGCAGUAUACAGGAUUUCCUGUGCAUGGGCAACCUUUUCUGUCUGGCUUCAGUGCCUUUCAGAUUCGUCCAAACUCUCACAUGAAUCGAUUGGUUGUGCUUAUUGCUGAAUAGAAUUCUAGUAAAAAGUGUUUAUCCAUUCACGGCAUGGUGGGCAUUCUGGCUGUCUCUGACGGGGUGACUGACCUGUAUUCAACCGUGGUACCAUGCAGGUUUAAGUCGAUAUGAGCGUGCUUCCAACUCCUUAGGUGUGUGGUAGGAGUGUGAUUGCUGGGCUGCAUCACCACACAUUUACAGUUAUCCUUAAAGAAAACAGAAGAUCAUUAACUAGAAUCAUUUUCCGCCCCCAUCCCCCCGUGCCGUAUGUGUAUACUCCUGGGUUGUGUUUUUAGCAACACAAGGUGUGUCAGCUUCCCUAGCAUGUUGGCCAGCCUGGCGUCCAUAGAUGGAUUCUCAUGGUGGCUUUAAUUUGCAUUGCCUGGUUUUGAAUGCUAUCAACACUUUCACUUAUCUUCAGUAAUGCGCGGGCGCGCGCGCGCGCGCGCACACACACACACACACACACACACACACACACACACACACUUGGUUAGCUUUUUCGAAAAUUACGUGGUCUCUAAGUCUCUAUCAUUUUAUCAACAGUGAAUAGAAGCGUGACUGGAAAUGUGGCGUACGUUGGCCCUGUGGAUUCUCCUGUAAUAGCCCAAGCACAUAUUAUACCUCUUUCAGCUGAUCCCUCGAAAACUCAUCACUACUCAACCUGGUCUCCUCUGGAGUCUAAAUGAAGCACUUAAUGGGAAUCCACCUAAGCCUCCUCUGGCUUCUGUUUAUGACAGUAAAGAGUCCAGGUAAGUCAUGUCAGGGGUAGACAGAGCUGCCAGCUGCCCAUGUCUUAGCGAGAUCAGUGAGCUAUAUCUCCCAAGAGAGAAUUGUCAUUCUGCCUCUCUGCCAUGAGGACACUGCUGGACCACCUCUGCAGGAGCUUGCACUGAUGCUGUGCUAGAAAGAACAAAGACCCUUCUCUGCUUUGGUUUCCUUUAGAAAUGGUUCUGGCUCUGUCUCCCACAUACUCCAGCCUCCCACCACUCCAACUGGGGUGAACUUUCCUUCUACCUGUGGAACACAUCAAAUGGAGUUCUUGUGUUUCCUGUGUUCAUUUUCUCGUCUGAAAUCAUGCUGUUGCUGCUGUCUACCACACUAUGUCCUUGUAUUCCUAGACCUCCAAAACCAGGGCUGGACAGUCCAGGUGGAGCCUUUCUUCCUUAGCAGACGUAAGUAGACACAACCAUCCUGUAGGGCGAACAAGAGCUUGGUGGCUGGACAACCACUUCAGAUUUUCAAAUACACCCUCACAGAGAUGCUCAGGGAUGCUCACUGAAGUUUCAUCUGAGGCAGGGAGUCACAAGAAAGCAGAGAAGGAUGACCCCUGCCAAAACCAUGUUAGAGCAAAGGUGGCAGGGUCUCCCUUCCCUUGAAAUAACUCAAAUGCUGGACAGAGGACAGAAAGCAUGGUUUUCAAAUGCUAAUCAUGAAACAAGGCAAGACUGUGACAGAGAAUCAAAGAAAGCCUCCAGUGCCUCGUGUAACAGCUUAAGAGUUGCCAGCAAUGGUGCCAGCCGAGGAGCCCAGGCAGACUCAAAGAACUUCCCUGGGUUUAAGAGACAUGCUUGUGCUCAAGGGACCAAACUAAAUGUAUACAGGUUUGAUUUUUGUCAAUUAUGCUUCAAUAUAACUAUAAAAACUGGGGUAAAAGCACACUGUAAAAUACUGUCAAUCAGAAGUAACAAAGCUGUAUCUAAUACAUAACUCUAAGUGAGUAAAGAAUCAAUAUUGUCCAACCA
RNAcentral lists this small RNA (5558 nucleotides) under Rattus norvegicus (Norway rat). RNAcentral's name for it is "uncharacterized LOC102556249". The record is from RNAcentral. Lineage: Eukaryota; Metazoa; Chordata; Mammalia; Rodentia; Muridae.